CCUGGAAGAAUGGAAGCGGUGAGGCUGUGUGAGAAGAUGCACCUCUGAGAAGGAGUAACUGAUUAAAAAGAAGUAAACUGAUGGUCUGUCAAACUCUGUCAAUAGCUCAGCUCCAAGGAAGUACUAAACGCUAACUCUGCCCUGGCCUGUGCCCUUCCAAUGACCAGUUCAGCAUCCUGUUCUUUUAAUGGGAUCCUGUGGUCUCCCUCUUGCAAGCUGUUCCCUAGGGGAGGAGAGGACCUAGGCACUUCUGGAAGGAUACUGAGUGUCACAGCGCAAUCCUGGAGAAGGAGUGUGGAGCAGAGAAGCUGCUGGCAUCCAGGCAGCAUUCAUAGCAAAAGAGCUACUCAGUUUCCAGUGGGAGAAAGCUGUGAGAAGCCCCCCCUUCCCGUGCUGGGUAUUACUGAAUGGAAGGAGGAAGGAAUUGGGCAUGGCUGAACAAGGAACUGCUACUCAGGUUGAAGGAAAAAAUGGAAAUGUAUAAGCAGUGGAAGCAGACUUGUUUGCCUGUAAAGAAUGCACAGAUUCCCUUUGAAUGUGCAGAGAUGGGAUCAGGAAUUCUACGAUUCAUCAUGUCUGACCAACCUGGUGGCCUUCUAUGAUUGAGUGAUGGCAGUGGUUGACAAAGGAAAGGCAAUUGAUGUAAUUUACCUGGACUUCUUCAAGGCCUUUGAUAUGGCACCAUACCACAUCCUCAUUUCUAAACUGGAGAGAUACAGAUUUGGAGGCUGGACUAUUUGGUGAAAAAAGAAUUGGUUGGAUGGUCACAGUCAGAGGGUUGUGGUCAACAGCUCCAUGUCCAGAUGGAGGCUGUGAUUGGUGCGCUUCAUCAUCAGUGACCUAGACUGUAAAAUCAAGUGCAUCCUCAGCAAACUGGCUGAUGAGAUUGAGUGGUGCAGUUGUUACAACAGAAAGAAGAGACAUCAUCCAGAGGGACCUGGACAGACUUGAGAAGAGGGCCCAUGAGAACCUAAUGAAGUUAAUUGCAACAAGUGCAAGGUGUUGAAGUGGGGUCAGGGUAAUCCCAGAUAUGUGUACAGACUGGGAGAAGAGCCCAUUGAGAGUGGCCCUGUGGAGAAGGAUAUGAAGGUCCUGGUGGAUGAAAAGCCAGACAUAAGACAGUAGUGUGCACUUGCAGCCCAGAAGGACAACAGUACCAUGGCCUGCAUCAAAAGAGGUGUGGCUGGCAGGGCAAUGGAGGUGAUUGUCUCCCUCUACUCAGCCCUUGUGAGGUCCCAUCUGGAGUACUGUGUCUGGGUCAGGGGUCCCCACUAAAGGAGGGAUGCAGAGCUGCUGGAUCUCAUAUAAAGAAAGGGAGAGGGAGCUAGGCUUGUUUAGCUUGGAGAAGAGAAGGCUCUGAAGAAACCUCACUGCAGUUUUCUAGUAGAUGAAGGGUUCUUAUAAGCAGUGGGGAGACUAAAUUUUUACACAAUCUGACAGUGAUAGGACAAAGGGAAAAUAGCUUGAAAUUAAAAGAUGGGUGAUUUAAGAUGGAUUUUAGAUGUAAGUUCCUUAUUUAGAGGCACUGGAACAGGCUGCCCAGAGAAGCUGUGGAUAUGCCAUUACUGAAGGUGUUCCGGGCCAGGGUGGAUGGGGUCCUGGUCUGGUGGGUGGCAACCUUGAGCACAGCAGGGGUUUGGAGCUUGAUGAUGUUUAAGGUCUUCUACAACCCAAGCAUGAUCUCUAGCUUCCGCAGUACAGAAUGGCAGUGCUAAUGGGCCUGACAGCUGGUCAAGCUGUCUCCUGAGGCACUGCGGCCCUGUGCUGUGACAGUGGCUUUUGCUUUGUGAAAUACAGCUGGGCAGCCCAUUCCACAGCCCUACCAGUUCAGCCAAACAACGGUGUACAUUGGUGGCCAAUUAAUUACUUUCUAUUCCCACUAGCUAGGUUUAAUCAAACUGUUUUUUUCCUUCUGUUGAGCUCAUGAUUAAGAUUCACCUCAGCUGAUAGAGAAAAGCUUUGCCUCCACAGAAAAUGUUUUUUAGAAGCCACUGAGAACUGAGACAAUAUUCCACUCUUGUUUCUACUGAGUUAUUACAGAUGGGGAUCAAUUAAGUAGAACUGAAGCCCUUCCCCUCUCUUUUGAGCAAACAUGUCAGUGAUCCCGUUCAUGCUGUGGUUCUCACACAUUAUCUGCCCUGCUGUUUCAGCCCAAUAUCUGUGUGGCGGUGAUCAAGUUCUGCCAUGCUGCUGUUGGGUGUCUAAGCCCUUGGCAUUUCCCAACCUGUGGGCACUUAGGACAGCAGAAAUGGACACUGAAUGUGCUUUAGACUGCUUUUAUGGUCUACAAAACUCCUUGGACCUGACUGUGCAGCUAAUGCUACAGAAAGAAAUCCUUGAUGUUUGGAUUUUAAUUGCUGUGCAAGCUGAGUUUAUUAGGAACGUAAAUGUUUGAGCAGCUCCUUCUGAUAGGUCUAAUCUCUCAGUAAACCUGUCUUCAAAUCAUUAACCCUGCGGGGCUGCUCAAGAACUCGUUCUGCUGA
Molecule: non-coding RNA, 2483 nt
Organism: Coturnix japonica (Japanese quail)
Lineage: Eukaryota; Metazoa; Chordata; Aves; Galliformes; Phasianidae
Source: RefSeq, a predicted model, not a curated record